GAGGAUGUAAACUCAGUGGUAGGGUGCUUGCUUAGCAUGUGAGAGGCCCUGGGUUGGAUCCCCAGCACCACA
This 72-nucleotide transfer RNA is filed under the name Marmota monax (woodchuck). Its description in RNAcentral is "tRNA.Ala". Lineage: Eukaryota; Metazoa; Chordata; Mammalia; Rodentia; Sciuridae. The record is from RNAcentral.